CCUGCCAGGAGGAAAUCAAGACAUCUCCCUCCCGACCUCAGAGCCCCAGCUUCCAAGGUCCUUGCUUUUCUGUUGUUUUCUUUCCCUGAUGCCCAUUUUUCCCUUUUGGACUGCCACACUCUGGUAUUGCAGAGGGCCGCGGGGUGAAGAUUGCCCGUGCCCUGGUGGGCACCUUCAUGUCAGCACUGGAGAUGCCUGGCAUUUCUCUCACCCUCCUGCUGGUGGAUGAGCCUCUCCUGAAACUGAUAGAUGCUGAAACCACUGCAGCAGCCUGGCCUAACGUGGCUGCAGUCUCCAUUACUGGGCGGAAGCGGAGCCGGGUAGCCCCUGCCGAGCCCCAGGAGGCCCCUGAUUCCACUG
Molecule: small RNA, 360 nt
Filed under: Pan troglodytes (chimpanzee)
Lineage: Eukaryota; Metazoa; Chordata; Mammalia; Primates; Hominidae
Description: retained intron
Source: RNAcentral